AGUCGUAACAAGGUUUCCGUAGGUGAACCUGCGGAAGGAUCAUUAUUUGAUCUGAAUUGGCGGCAUUUGAAAAAUGCAGCCUUUUUGCUUUGUGAACUGUCUUGUACUGUUGUUUUUUUUAAUAGUUGCUUUUUUUCUUCGGAAAAAAAAAUAAAGACAACUUUCAGCAAUGGAUCUCUUGGCUCUU
RNAcentral lists this unclassified non-coding RNA (187 nucleotides) under fungal sp. Its description in RNAcentral is "partial internal transcribed spacer region". The stretch from base 1 to 45 matches the Rfam family "Eukaryotic small subunit ribosomal RNA", at positions 1787 to 1831 of the family's 1831-position model. Lineage: Eukaryota; Fungi. The record is from RNAcentral.